UUAGUUUUCUUUAUCAUACUUUGUAGUUUUAAUGAUGACGCAUACAUGUCAACUAUGGGUGUUGGCUCCAACAAUUCUCACUGGUCUCAAACCAAUGAAGUGCAUGAACAUGAUCAUGAGUAUGAAGUGGAUGCGGAUGGUGAGGGUAUCGUCGAUGCACCGAAAGGAAGGGCGUGCAACUACACCAUUGAGGAAGACGUCUUGCUAUGCAAUACAUGGUUGACCGUGUAUAUGGAUGCCACCGUUGGAGGGGACCAAUCUAGAGAUACAUAUUGGUUUCAGAUGAAUGAGUUCUUUGAUGCACACAACAGGAGUGGAAUUAAGCGCAUCGGUAGAUCACUUCGCUCCCGGUGGCCGAUGAUCAACAAAGAUUGUCAAAGAUGGGCGGCAGCAAUGAACCCAAGUGGCACUAAUGAUAGAGAUAGGGCAAGUGCCAUUUCUUUAUGUUCCAUAUUCAUGCUCCAUCUUUUGUGUUUCAAGUAG
RNAcentral lists this ribosomal RNA (483 nucleotides) under Triticum aestivum (bread wheat). RNAcentral's name for it is "partial small subunit ribosomal RNA". Lineage: Eukaryota; Viridiplantae; Streptophyta; Magnoliopsida; Poales; Poaceae. The record is from RNAcentral.